Molecule: ribosomal RNA, 555 nt
Filed under: Cryptosporidium parvum
Lineage: Eukaryota; Apicomplexa; Conoidasida; Eucoccidiorida; Cryptosporidiidae
Description: SSU rRNA
Rfam family: Eukaryotic small subunit ribosomal RNA
Source: RNAcentral
ACGGUAGGGUAUUGGCCUACCGUGGCAAUGACGGGUAACGGGGAAUUAGGGUUCGAUUCCGGAGAGGGAGCCUGAGAAACGGCUACCACAUCUAAGGAAGGCAGCAGGCGCGCAAAUUACCCAAUCCUAAUACAGGGAGGUAGUGACAAGAAAUAACAAUACAGGACUUUUUGGUUUUGUAAUUGGAAUGAGUUAAGUAUAAACCCCUUUACAAGUAUCAAUUGGAGGGCAAGUCUGGUGCCAGCAGCCGCGGUAAUUCCAGCUCCAAUAGCGUAUAUUAAAGUUGUUGCAGUUAAAAAGCUCGUAGUUGGAUUUCUGUUAAUAAUUUAUAUAAAAUAUUUUGAAUAUUUAUAUAACAUUAACAUAAUUCAUAUUACUAUAUUUUUUAGUAUAUGAAAUUUUACUUUGAGAAAAUUAGAGUGCUUAAAGCAGGCAUAUGCCUUGAAUACUCCAGCAUGGAAUAAUAUUAAAGAUUUUUAUCUUUCUUAUUGGUUCUAAGAUAAGAAUAAUGAUUAAUAGGGACAGUUGGGGGCAUUUGUAUUUAACAGUCAGAGG